CAGCCGCCGCGGUAAUACGUAGGUCCCGAGCGUUGUCCGGAUUUAUUGGGCGUAAAGCGAGCGCAGGCGGUUAGAUAAGUCUGAAGUUAAAGGCUGUGGCUUAACCAUAGUACGCUUUGGAAACUGUUUAACUUGAGUGCAAGAGGGGAGAGUGGAAUUCCAUGUGUAGCGGUGAAAUGCGUAGAUAUAUGGAGGAACACCGGUGGCGAAAGCGGCUCUCUGGCUCGAAACUGACGCUGAGGCGCGAAAGCGUGGGGAGCAAACAGGAUUAGAUACCCCCGUAGUCCCUGUCUCUUAUACA
This 301-nucleotide ribosomal RNA is filed under the name uncultured bacterium. RNAcentral describes it as "partial 16S ribosomal RNA". It matches the Rfam family "Bacterial small subunit ribosomal RNA", at positions 509 to 808 of the family's 1533-position model. The record is from RNAcentral.